ACGCUCGACACCUACGGGAGGGCAGCAGUGGGGAAUAUUGCACAAUGGGGGAAACCCUGAUGCAGCGACGCCGCGUGAGUGAAGAAGUAAUUCGUUAUGUAAAGCUCUAUCAGCAGGGAAGAAAGUGACGGUACCUGAGUAAGAAGCCCCGGCUAACUACGUGGCAGCAGCCGCGGUAAUCUGAGCGGGCUGGCAAGGC
This 199-nucleotide ribosomal RNA is filed under the name uncultured bacterium. RNAcentral describes it as "partial 16S ribosomal RNA". It matches the Rfam family "Bacterial small subunit ribosomal RNA", at positions 328 to 539 of the family's 1533-position model. The record is from RNAcentral.